Lates calcarifer (barramundi perch) is the source of this 478-nucleotide long non-coding RNA. RefSeq lists it as uncharacterized. The transcript is spliced from 3 exons. The record is from RefSeq and is a predicted model, not a curated record. Lineage: Eukaryota; Metazoa; Chordata; Actinopteri; Centropomidae.
AACAAGAUGGCAGCGGCCAACGUUUGAACCAUUGCAUCGGUUUAUCAGUACUCUGAGGAAAACUUAAUUACCGAAGCCUGGAUACUAAAAUAAGCUAAGGAGCUGAUUUUUUGUCGAAUACGGCUGAAGCUGGACGCUGAAUGCACGUGCAGCUCGAAGUUGUACUUGUUCAGCUGCUGCAGCUUAGACAGAGACACCAACAUCACCUUACAGACCAACAGGUGUCACCACUUCGUCCACAACAUCGCCCACGAUCGCAGAGACUUCGUCCAUGAUCGGAGAGACAUUGUUGAGGAUGAGGGAGACAUUGUCCACGAUCAGAGACAUCGCCCGUGAUUGCAGAGACCUUGUCAAAGAUGAGAGAGACGUUGUCCUUGAUCAGAGACAUUGUCUCCUGCUUCGUAGAGACCUUGCGAUAGAAUCGGCGGAGACGGGGGUCACCGAUUUGACGGCAUUGCCCGCGAUCAGGGACAUUGUC